This 275-nucleotide ribosomal RNA is filed under the name uncultured bacterium. Its description in RNAcentral is "partial 16S ribosomal RNA". It matches the Rfam family "Bacterial small subunit ribosomal RNA", at positions 338 to 630 of the family's 1533-position model. The record is from RNAcentral.
CCUACGGGGGGCUGCAGUCGGGAAUUUUGGGCAAUGGGGGAAACCCUGACCCAGCAACGCCGCGUGAAGGAUGAAGUAUUUCGGUAUGUAAACUUCGAAAGAAUGGGAAGAAUCAAUGACGGUACCAUUUAUAAGGUCCGGCUAACUACGUGCCAGCAGCCGCGGUAAUACGUAGGGACCAAGCGUUGUUCGGAUUUACUGGGCGUAAAGGGCGCGUAGGCGGCAAUUCAAGUCAGCUGUGAAAUCUCUGGGCUUAACUCAGAACGGCCAGCUGA